AUACGUAGGGCGCGAGCGUUGUCCGGAUUUACUGGGUGUAAAGGGUGCGUAGGCGGCUCUGCAAGUCAGGUGUGAAAACCAUCGGCUUAACUGAUGGACUGCAUUUGAAACUGUGGGGCUUGAGUGGAGUAGAGGCAGACGGAAUUCCCGGUGUAGCGGUGAAAUGCGUAGAGAUCGGGAAGAACACCAGUGGCGAAGGCGGUCUGCUGGGCUCUAACUGACGCUGAGGCACGAAAGCAUGGGUAGCAAACAGGAUUAGAGACCCUGGUAGUCCAUGCCGUAAACGAUGAUGACUAGGUGUGGGGGGUCUGACCCUCUCCGUGCCGGAGUUAACACAAUAAGUAAUCCACCGGGGAAGUACGACCGCAAGGUUGAA
Molecule: ribosomal RNA, 376 nt
Filed under: uncultured bacterium
Lineage: Bacteria
Description: bacterial SSU rRNA
Rfam family: Bacterial small subunit ribosomal RNA
Source: RNAcentral